RNAcentral lists this ribosomal RNA (1020 nucleotides) under Mesorhizobium sp. RNAcentral describes it as "partial 23S ribosomal RNA". It matches the Rfam family "Bacterial large subunit ribosomal RNA", at positions 1928 to 2925 of the family's 2925-position model. The record is from RNAcentral. Lineage: Bacteria; Pseudomonadati; Pseudomonadota; Alphaproteobacteria; Hyphomicrobiales; Phyllobacteriaceae.
CGGCGGCCGUAACUAUAACGGUCCUAAGGUAGCGAAAUUCCUUGUCGGGUAAGUUCCGACCUGCACGAAUGGCGUAAUGAUGGCCAGGCUGUCUCCACCCGAGACUCAGUGAAAUUGAACUCGCUGUGAAGAUGCAGUGUACCCGCGGCAAGACGGAAAGACCCCGUGAACCUUUACUAUAGCUUGACACUGAACAUUGAGCCUUGAUGUGUAGGAUAGGUGGGAGGCUUUGAAGCGUGGACGCCAGUCUGCGUGGAGCCAACCUUGAAAUACCACCCUUUAAUGUUUGAUGUUCUAACGUAGGCCCCUAAUCCGGGUUGCGGACAGUGUCUGGUGGGUAGUUUGACUGGGGCGGUCUCCUCCCAAAGAGUAACGGAGGAGCACGAAGGUUGGCUAAUCCUGGUCGGACAUCAGGAGGUUAGUGCAAUGGCAUAAGCCAGCUUGACUGCGAGAGUGACGGCUCGAGCAGGUGCGAAAGCAGGUCAUAGUGAUCCGGUGGUUCUGAAUGGAAGGGCCAUCGCUCAACGGAUAAAAGGUACUCCGGGGAUAACAGGCUGAUACCGCCCAAGAGUUCAUAUCGACGGCGGUGUUUGGCACCUCGAUGUCGGCUCAUCACAUCCUGGGGCUGAAGUAGGUCCCAAGGGUAUGGCUGUUCGCCAUUUAAAGUGGUACGCGAGCUGGGUUUAGAACGUCGUGAGACAGUUCGGUCCCUAUCUGCCGUGGGCGCUGGAGAAUUGAGGGGGGCUGCUCCUAGUACGAGAGGACCGGAGUGGACGCAUCACUGGUGUUCGGGUUGUCAUGCCAAUGGCACUGCCCGGUAGCUAAAUGCGGAAAAGAUAAGUGCUGAAAGCAUCUAAGCACGAAACUUGCCCCGAGAUGAGUUCUCCCUGACUCCUUGAGAGUCCUGAAGGAACGUUGAAGACGACGACGUUGAUAGGUCGGGUGUGUAAGCGUAGCGAUACGUUGAGCUAACCGAUACUAAUGAACCGUGAGGCUUAACCUUACAACGCCGAAGCUGUU